This 301-nucleotide ribosomal RNA is filed under the name uncultured bacterium. RNAcentral's name for it is "partial 16S ribosomal RNA". It matches the Rfam family "Bacterial small subunit ribosomal RNA", at positions 509 to 807 of the family's 1533-position model. The record is from RNAcentral.
CAGUCGCCACGGUAAUACAGAGGGUGCGAGCGUUAAUCGGAUUUACUGGGCGUAAAGCGUGCGUAGGCGGCUUUUUAAGUCGGAUGUGAAAUCCCUGAGCUUAACUCAGGAAUUGCAUUCGAUACUGGGAAGCUAGAGUAUGGGAGAGGAUGGUAGAAUUCCAGGUGUAGCGGUGAAAUGCGUAGAGAUCUGGAGGAAUACCGAUGGCGAAGGCAGCCAUCUGGCCUAAUACUGACGCUGAGGUACGAAAGCAUGGGGAGCAAACAGGAUUAGAUGCCCCCGUAGUCCCUGUCUCUUAUAC